RNAcentral lists this non-coding RNA (169 nucleotides) under bovine gut metagenome. Its description in RNAcentral is "malK-I RNA". It matches the Rfam family "malK-I RNA". The record is from RNAcentral.
GCGGCAGACCACUCCACAUCCUGGCUGCCGUACAUGAAAAAAAAGGAGGUUAAAAGCCCCGGCUCGGGCUGCGGCAGUGUGGAGACCUGUCGUAACGUGUCGCAUCCCCCGCGGAUGGACGCGAGCGGCUUCUCGCGGAGGCGGAAACCGCAGAGUCAAGAAACAUGGC